GAUGAACGCUGGCGGCGUGCUUAACACAUGCAAGUCGAGCGGGGGAUAAACCCUUCAGGGUUUAUUCUAGCGGCGGACGGGUGAGUAACGCGUGAGCAAUCUGUCCUACACAGGGGGAUAACAGAUGGAAACAUCUGCUAAUACCGCAUAAGACCACGGGAUCACAUGUUCCUGGGGUAAAAGAUUUAUCGGUGUAGGGUGAGCUCGCGGUACAUUAGCUAGUUGGUGGGGUAACGGCCUACCAAGGCGACGAUGUAUAGCUGGUCUGAGAGGAUGAUCAGCCACACUGGGACUGAGACACGGCCCAGACUCCUACGGAGGCAGCAGUCGGGAAUCUUGCGCAAUGGGCGAAAGCCUGACGCAGCAACACCGUGUGAGCGACGAAGGCCUUCGGGUCGUAAAGCUCUGUUGUUGGGGACGAAGGGUUAGGGGUUAAUAGCCCAAGCCUGACGGUACCCUUCGAGGAAGCCCCGGCUAACUACGUGCCAGCAGCCGC
This 496-nucleotide ribosomal RNA is filed under the name uncultured bacterium. RNAcentral describes it as "bacterial SSU rRNA". It matches the Rfam family "Bacterial small subunit ribosomal RNA", at positions 28 to 518 of the family's 1533-position model. The record is from RNAcentral.